RNAcentral lists this ribosomal RNA (233 nucleotides) under uncultured bacterium. RNAcentral describes it as "partial 16S ribosomal RNA". It matches the Rfam family "Bacterial small subunit ribosomal RNA", at positions 103 to 334 of the family's 1533-position model. The record is from RNAcentral.
CGGGUGAGUAACGCGUGAGGAACCUGCCUCAAAGAGGGGGACAACAGUUGGAAACAACUGCUAAUACCGCAUAAGCCCACGGUGCCGCAUGGCACAGAGGGAAAAGGAGCAAUCCGCUUUGAGAUGGCCUCGCGUCCGAUUAGCUAGUUGGUGAGGUAAUGGCCCACCAAGGCGACGAUCGGUAGCCGGACUGAGAGGUUGAACGGCCACAUUGGGACUGAGACACGGCCCAG